UGCCUAUGUGGUGUUUGGCAAAACAUG
Molecule: non-coding RNA, 27 nt
Filed under: Homo sapiens (human)
Lineage: Eukaryota; Metazoa; Chordata; Mammalia; Primates; Hominidae
Source: RNAcentral